AACGAACGCUGGCGGCAUGCCUAACACAUGCAAGUCGAACGAGACCUUCGGGUCUAGUGGCGCACGGGUGCGUAACGCGUGGGAACCUGCCCUUAGGUUCGGAAUAACUCCCCGAAAGGGGUGCUAAUACCGGAUAAUGUCUUCGGACCAAAGAUUUAUCGCCUUUGGAUGGGCCCGCGUUGGAUUAGCUAGUUGGUAGGGUAAAAGCCUACCAAGGCGACGAUCCAUAGCUGGUCUGAGAGGAUGAUCAGCCACACUGGGACUGAGACACGGCCCAGACUCCUACGGGAGGCAGCAGUGGGGAAUAUUGGAAAAUGGGCGGAAGGCUGAUCCAGCAAUGCCGGGUGAGUGAUGAAGGCCUUAGGGUUGUAAAGCUCUUUUAACCGGGAUGAUAAUGACAGUACCGGGAGAAUAAGCGCCGGCUAACUACGUG
RNAcentral lists this ribosomal RNA (433 nucleotides) under uncultured bacterium. RNAcentral describes it as "partial 16S ribosomal RNA". It matches the Rfam family "Bacterial small subunit ribosomal RNA", at positions 29 to 507 of the family's 1533-position model. The record is from RNAcentral.